CUGAAGUACAAAAGAAAGUACAUAUCUGGUGUUUUGGGAUCAUUUGAAAAGCGUUGUGAUGUUGACUGGCAACUGCGCAAUUGGGCACGAUAUCUGGGGUGUUUGGGCAACAUAUUAGGAAAGUCUGUGACUUAUAUAUCACUGUAAAAA
Haliotis rubra (blacklip abalone) is the source of this 150-nucleotide long non-coding RNA. RefSeq lists it as uncharacterized. The transcript is spliced from 3 exons. The record is from RefSeq and is a predicted model, not a curated record. NCBI's taxonomy places the organism in Eukaryota, Metazoa, Mollusca, Gastropoda, Lepetellida, Haliotidae.